GAGAAUGAUUCAGUUGAGUCGGGUAGCUUGGGAAUGCUGCUCUAAUUGGUGGUAAAUCUCAUCAAAGGCUAAAUAUUGACCGGAAACCGAUAGCGAACAAGUACCGUGAGGGAAAGAUGACAAGCACUUUGAAAAGAGGGUGAAAAGAGCCUGAAACCGUCAUGGGGGAAGCGGAUUGCGUUGGAGAUUGGGUUGCUGUGUGUUCAGCCUUUGAAUUUUAAACGAUUUGGGGUGCAUUGGCGCAGUAAUCGAGGCACCGUGGGUUUCAGCUGGUGGAAGUUGCACUGGUUGGGGCUGAGGGAUCCCUUUUAUAGGUGAGGACGGUGUGUGAACGACGCAAUACGACCCGUCUUGAAACACGGACCAAGGAGUCUAGCGCGGUUGCGAGUCAGAGGGUGCAAGCCCGAGGGCGUAGUGAAAGCGAGUGUGAAAACGAGCAGUUUGGGGCGGCAUGAGAUUGUUAAUUUCAAGUCCGACCUUGAGCAGUUGCGCUGGGACCCGAAAGAUGGUGAACUAUGCCGGAAUAGGGCAAAGCCAGAGGAAACUCUGGUGGAGGCUCGUAGCGGUGCUGACGUGCAAAUCGCUCGUCUGAUUUUGGUAUAGGGGCGAAAGACUAAUCGAACCAUCUAGUAGCUGGUUCCCUCCGAAGUUUCUCUCAGGAUAGCGGGCCGACAGGUGUUGUUUUGUGCGGUAAAGCGAAUGAUUAGCGCACUCGGGGGCGGUUUGCCUUUGGGCGAUUCUCAAACUUUCAAUGCGCAAGGGUGCCGCUGCUUGAUUGAGCGGCACCGGCAAAAACGUCGGCCCCGUGGGCCACUUUUGGUAAGCA
This 826-nucleotide ribosomal RNA is filed under the name Nothokallymenia crouaniorum. RNAcentral describes it as "eukaryotic LSU rRNA". It matches the Rfam family "Eukaryotic large subunit ribosomal RNA", at positions 247 to 1146 of the family's 3401-position model. The record is from RNAcentral. Lineage: Eukaryota; Rhodophyta; Florideophyceae; Gigartinales; Kallymeniaceae.